ACUCCUACGGGAGGCAGCAGUGGGGAAUAUUGGACAAUGGGGGAAACCCUGAUCCAGCCAUGCCGCGUGUGUGAAGAAGGCCUUCGGGUUGUAAAGCACUUUCAGUGGGGAGGAAAGGUUGUUGGUUAAUACCUAGCAGCUGUGACGUUACCCACAGAAGAAGCACCGGCUAACUCCGUGCCAGCAGCCGCGGUAAUACGGAGGGUGCGAGCGUUAAUCGGAAUUACUGGGCGUAAAGCGCGUGUGGUUGGCUUGUUAAGCCAGAAUGUGGAAAGCCCCGGGCUCAACCUGGGAACUGCAUUUGGAACUGGCAGACUAGAGUCUUGUAGAGGGGGUAGAAUUCCAGGUGUAGCGGUGAAAUGCGUAGAGAUCUGGAGGAAUACCGGUGGCGAAGGCGGCCCCCUGGACAAAGACUGACGCUCAGGCACGAAAGCGUGGGGAGCAAACAGGAUUAGAUACCCUGGUAGCUCGAUGU
RNAcentral lists this ribosomal RNA (475 nucleotides) under uncultured bacterium. RNAcentral's name for it is "bacterial SSU rRNA". It matches the Rfam family "Bacterial small subunit ribosomal RNA", at positions 335 to 800 of the family's 1533-position model. The record is from RNAcentral.